This 1630-nucleotide ribosomal RNA is filed under the name Cheliplana sp. 2 JPS-2015. RNAcentral describes it as "eukaryotic LSU rRNA". It matches the Rfam family "Eukaryotic large subunit ribosomal RNA", at positions 37 to 1451 of the family's 3401-position model. The record is from RNAcentral. Lineage: Eukaryota; Metazoa; Platyhelminthes; Rhabdocoela; Karkinorhynchidae.
AACAUAACAAUAACCGGAGGAAAAGAAAUUCCCUAGGAUUCCUCCNGUAGCGGCGAGCGAAGAGGGAGAAGCCCAAAACCGAAUCCUAGUAGUUUAACUGCUGGGAAAUGUGGUGUAUGGUUCAGUCUAUACGGCUGGUCGGAGCUGUCUUAAGUCCACUUGAUUGUGGCUCCUUGCCCAUAGAGGGUGUAAGGCCCGUAAAGGCAGUACGGCUUGCUUCUGGAUUGUUCCAANAGUCGGGUUGUUAGGGNUUGCAGCCCAAAGAGGGUGGUAAACUCCAUCCAAGGCUUUUACUANAUGGUUUGAUAUANUNNUCNNNNCCAUGNGCANGUAANAAAAUNAACUUUCANGUCNGANUGUNUCCNCAUNCCCCCAAACGCUCGGGGUNNNAAGCCGGAAUGACGCCGAANGGGCAUAAGCGUUUACUUUUCUGUGCGCUAAUACUGUCUGGUCGGUCAUCCGCAAGGAGGCAGCUUGAUGGUGUUUGGUGUGCAGUUGAGUUUAUAGCUCGAUUGUCAAGCUUCCUGAUCUGUAGCGGUCGUAAUGAUUCUGGUAGGAAGGUACCUUGCCGUAAGGUGAGGACUUAUAGCCUGCCUCUAUUGUUGCAUGCUGUUACAGUGAAAACUGAUGAAAGUGUGGAGAUCCUAGUAGACUGUUACUUCCACUGAUUAGAGACUCGCAAGAGACUCCAUGAAAGUUUAAGAGGUUUCAGUUGGCUGGUCGUAUCCUGCAUCAUUAGUCAGGGUUGUCUAUGUAGGUGGAGAUUCCGACCCGUCUUGAAACACGGACCAAGGAGUUUAACAUGUGCGCGAGUCAAUGGGUGCUACGAAACCUAAAGGCGCAGUGAAAGUAAAGGUCUGCAACGGUAGACUGAGGUGCGAUCCUGAUUUCUUCGUGUUCACACACAGGAGUUGGGCGCAGCACCGGCUCGUCCCAUGCUUUAUUAAGCGGGGCGACGCAAGAGCGCACAUGCUGAGACCCGAAAGAUGGUGAACUAUGCUUGCGUAGGUUGAAGCCAGAGGAAACUCUGGUGGAGGACCGUAGCGAUUCUGACGUGCAAAUCGAUCGUCAAACGUGAGUAUAGGGGCGAAAGACUAAUCGAACCAUCUAGUAGCUGGUUCCCUCCGAAGUUUCCCUCAGGAUAGCUGGCACUCGGGAAACAAACAGUUUUAUCCGGUAAAGCGAACGAUUAGAAGUAUUGGGGAGAAAUGAUCCUCAACUUAUUCUCGAACUUUAAAUGGGUGAGAAGCUUAACUCGUUUAAAUAGAGUUGGGCAUUGAAUGUGAGUGCCUAGUGGGCCAUUUUUGGUAAGCAGAACUGGCGCUGUGGGAUGAACCAAACGUUUGGUUAAGGUGCCUAACACGACGCUCAUGAGAUACCACAAAAGGUGUUGGUUGAUAUAGACAGCAGGACGGUGGCCAUGGAAGUCGGUAACCGCUAAGGAGUGUGUAACAACUCACCUGCCGAAUCAACCAGCCCUGAAAAUGGAUGGCGCUGGAGCGUUGGACCUAUACCAGACCGGCAGUGCAAUGCACAUCAGUUGCUGUACGCAGUGCCGAGUAGGAGGGCGAACUGGUGAGCAUUGAAGCCUUGUCGUGAGAUGGGGUGGAGCCGCCAGUUGUGCAGAUCU